GGCUUCAUAGCUCAGUUGGUAGAGCAUCACACUUAGUCUAGUAAUGUGGAGGUCAUGGGUUCAAAUCCUGUUGAAGCCC
This is a non-coding RNA of Desmophyllum pertusum, 79 nucleotides long. Lineage: Eukaryota; Metazoa; Cnidaria; Anthozoa; Scleractinia; Caryophylliidae. The record is from the annotation of a GenBank genome assembly.